GAGAGUUUGAUCCUGGCUCAGAACGAACGCUGGCGGCGCGUCUUAAGCAUGCAAGUCGAACGGUAAGAAGGAGCUUGCUUCUUCCUAGAGUGGCGGACUGGUGAGUAACGCGUGGAUGACGUACCCUUUUGACGGGGAUAGCCGAUAGAAAUAUCGGAUAAUACCGGAUAAUCCCUUUUGGGGUAAAGACGAAAGAGGAAAGCGGCUUCGGCCGCGCAGAAGGAACGGUCCGCGUCCUAUCAGCUAGUCGGCAGGGUAAAGGCCUGCCGAGGCGACGACGGGUAUCCGGCCUGAGAGGGUGGACGGACACAUUGGGACUGAGAUACGGCCCAGACUCCUACGGGAGGCAGCAGCUAAGAAUAUUCCGCAAUGGACGAAAGUCUGACGGAGCGACGCCGCGUGGAUGAUGAAGGCCGGAAGGUUGUAAAGUCCUUUUAUCCGUGAAGAAGAAGAUUAAGAGGGAAUGCUUAAUUGGUGACGGUAGCGGAUGAAUAAGCACCGGCUAAUUACGUGCCAGCAGCCGCGGUAACACGUAAGGUGCAAGCGUUGUUCGGAAUUAUUGGGCGUAAAGGGCAUGCAGGCGGUCGUGCAAGCCCGGCGUGAAAGACGGGGGCUUAACUCCCGAAGUGCGCUGGGAACUGCAGGGCUUGAGUUUCUGAAGGGCAGUCGGAAUUCCACGUGUAGGGGUGAAAUCUGUAGAUAUGUGGAAGAACACCAAUGGCGAAGGCAGGCUGCCGGCAGAAGACUGACGCUGAGGUGCGAAGGUGCGGGGAGCAAACAGGAUUAGAUACCCUGGUAGUCCGCACAGUCAACGAUGUGCACUAGAUGUCUGUCCACAAGGAUGGGUGUCAAAGCAAACGCGAUAAGUGCACCGCCUGGGGAGUAUGCCCGCAAGGGUGAAACUCAAAGGAAUUGACGGGGGCCCGCACAAGCGGUGGAGCAUGUGGUUUAAUUCGAUGGUACGCGAGGAACCUUACCUGGGUUUGACAUACACAGGGAUUAUGUAGAGAUAUGUAAGCGCAGCAAUGCGCCUGUGAACAGGUGCUGCAUGGCUGUCGUCAGCUCGUGCCGUGAGGUGUUGGGUUAAGUCCCGCAACGAGCGCAACCCCUACUGCCAGUUACCAGCGCGUUAUGGCGGGGACUCUGGCGGAACUGCCUGCGACAAGCAGGAGGAAGGCGGGGAUGACGUCAAGUCAUCAUGACCCUUAUGUCCAGGGCAACACACGUGCUACAAUGGUUGGGACAAAGCGAAGCGAGUGCGAGAGUACAAGCAGAACGCAGAAAUCCGAUCGUAGUCCGGAUUGGAGUCUGAAACUCGACUCCAUGAAGUUGGAAUCGCUAGUAAUCGCACAUCAGCACGGUGCGGUGAAUACGUUCCCGGGCCUUGUACACACCGCCCGUCACACCAUCCGAGUGGAGGGUACCCGAAGCCGGCAGUCUAACCGCAAGGGGGACGCUGUCGAAGGUAUGCUUCGCGAGGGGGGUGAAGUCGUAACAAGGUAGUCGUACCGGAAGGUGCGGCUGGAACACCCU
This 1533-nucleotide ribosomal RNA is filed under the name uncultured bacterium. Its description in RNAcentral is "bacterial SSU rRNA". It matches the Rfam family "Bacterial small subunit ribosomal RNA". The record is from RNAcentral.